AGGGGCAUAGCUCAGUGGUAGAGUACAUGCCCAGCACACCUGAGGUCCUGGGUUCAAUCCCCAGUACCUCCA
This 72-nucleotide transfer RNA is filed under the name Camelus bactrianus (Bactrian camel). It matches the Rfam family "tRNA". Rfam says of the family: Transfer RNA (tRNA) molecules are approximately 80 nucleotides in length. Their secondary structure includes four short double-helical elements and three loops (D, anti-codon, and T loops). RNAcentral also lists the same sequence under 2 other names. Lineage: Eukaryota; Metazoa; Chordata; Mammalia; Artiodactyla; Camelidae. The record is from Rfam by way of RNAcentral.